UACGUAGGUGGCAAGCGUUGUCCGGAAUUAUUGGGCGUAAAGCGCGCGUAGGCGGUCCUUUAAGUCUGAUGUGAAAGCCCACGGCUCAACCGUGGAGGGUCAUUGGAAACUGGGGGACUUGAGUGCAGGAGAGAAGAGUGGAAUUCCACGUGUAGCGGUGAAAUUCGUAGAUAUUGGGAAGAACACCGGUGGCGAAGGCGGCUCUCUGGACCGACACUGACGCUGAGGCGCGAAAGCGUGGGGAGCAAACAGG
Molecule: ribosomal RNA, 253 nt
Filed under: uncultured bacterium
Lineage: Bacteria
Description: partial 16S ribosomal RNA
Rfam family: Bacterial small subunit ribosomal RNA
Source: RNAcentral